AGAUCCAGACACCUCCAGCUGACUCGCUUCAGGAGGAAUGGACUUUAGAAACGGGAGACGUCUGGAGCUGCACCGGCCGCACAUGCAUGCUAGUGCAUGUGAAUCCCUUGUGUGAAAACUGUUUGUGAGGUUCUAAAUGUGAAGAGUUUGCCACCGGCCAGGAACCUGGAUACUACUCCUUCUUCACCAAUUAUUACAACACCACCGUGGUCUCCUUCUUCAGCGCCAUCACCAACUGGUUGAAGUAGACUUUAUAGGAACUUAUUAACAAAGCAUUCAUCAAAGAAUCAAAAAUCAUAACUCCUCAAUCAACCAAUCAAUCAUUGAGAGUUAUCCGAGCUAUUGAUUGACCCAUCACCAUUCAUCAUCUUCUGUCUAUUGUCUUCGUUUUUUCCCACCAUAUAAUUGGACAUUUUCCCAAUUACUUUAUGUUGACCUUUCACCUUUCACUACCUUUUUCUCUAUUGUUUUAAUUUUUUUCCCCACCGUAUAUUCUGCAUUUAUUGUCAAGGAUUGUCAAGCAUUCAUUGAACUACCUUGCAUCAUCUUAAAUGUUCAAUGAAGGACAAAUGUGUUGCCCUGUUGGACAUCCACUGCGCCAUAUUGUUUCAUGUUAGCAACCCCCAUUCCUUCUCAUUGGCUCAGACUAAAGCCUGCCCCUCUGGAUUUAUUGGCUCAGGUUCAGGUUCAUUUCAUAAAAAUGCUGGCCUCGUCCAAUAUCAAUAUUUCCUAACGAUAGGGUUGAGAUUCAACCAUAAGGACCAGCAAACUACAACAAUGAGCUGAGCGCAACAAAGAGCUGCAGAACUGGGAUUUGAUUCUCAGCGGGAUUAUUGUUGUUGUUUUCAAAUUAUACGUUAAGUCACUUGAAAGCUCCUUUGUGCAACCAAGAGCUCAGAAGUUGUUUUUCCUAAAUACUAACUGGCAGCAUAUGGUCCACCCAAGGUGGCUGAAACCAACCUCAGUGAGUUUCUGAGAUGACAGAUGACCUUGAUAUGGGAAGGAGUGUUAAAGCUGUACUCUGUAGUCUGUGUUCAUUGAUCUUCAAUGUUCUUGCUGAGCGUCUAUUUCUCAAUUUCGCCAUGUCAGUAUUUGUGAAAGAUGUACAGCAAUGCACUUGUUAGACUCCUGUUCCCAUAAUCCCUUAACAUCCUCCUAGCUUGCAGAGCCAGAGGCCAUUUGUGGAGUAAAUGUUGUAAAGUCUACUGGCUAAUGACAUAAAAGUAUACACAAGCAUACCCGAGGUCCUCCUGUAGCACUGUGCUGGAAUAAGGUAGAGCACUUACGCACCUUCAGCGUCCACCAGAGAGACUUGAUGUUCAGACUAGCUUUAAUUUUAGGGAUGGUUAGAAGGUGUUGCAUAAGAAGUUCAGUUAAAUCCUCAUUUUCCACGCUGUUACCACUCUCAGGAUGUCUAUAUUCAGCCCUACAAUAUAAUGUAGGCAAUCAACAGUUUGAAGAGGUCUACCUC
Molecule: long non-coding RNA, 1471 nt
Organism: Siniperca chuatsi (mandarin fish)
Lineage: Eukaryota; Metazoa; Chordata; Actinopteri; Centrarchiformes; Sinipercidae
Exons: 3
Source: RefSeq, a predicted model, not a curated record